UUGAUUCAGAUUUGAUUCAGACACACUCACGUCUGCAUAAAGGCGGCGCCUGAAGGCGCCGAAGCACGUCAUGGCUUCCACGGGUUUGAGGUUGAAGGCCCAAGGGCCAUUCGUUAAUGAUCCCUCCGCAGGUUCACCUACGGAGA
Molecule: unclassified non-coding RNA, 146 nt
Filed under: uncultured fungus
Lineage: Eukaryota; Fungi
Description: sequence contains ITS1
Source: RNAcentral